RNAcentral lists this ribosomal RNA (453 nucleotides) under uncultured bacterium. RNAcentral's name for it is "partial 16S ribosomal RNA". It matches the Rfam family "Bacterial small subunit ribosomal RNA", at positions 28 to 523 of the family's 1533-position model. The record is from RNAcentral.
GAUGAACGCUGGCGGCGUGCCUAAUACAUGCAAGUCGAGCGGUAACACUUCGGGUGACGAGCGGCGGACGGCUGAGUAACGCGUAGGAACAUACCCCAAACUGAGGGAUAAGCACCGGAAACGGUGUCUAAUACCGCAUGUGGUCUUCGGAUUAAAGCUUCGGCGGUUUGGGAAUGGCCUGCGUCCGAUUAGCUUGUUGGUGAGGUAAAAGCUCACCAAGGCGACGAUCGGUAGCUGGUCUGAGAGGAUGAUCAGCCAGACUGGGACUGAGACACGGCCCAGACUCCUACGGGAGGCAGCAGUAGGGAAUUUUCCACAAUGGGCGAAAGCCUGAUGGAGCAACGCCGCGUGCAGGAUGAAGGCCUUCGGGUUGUAAACUGCUUUUAUCUGUGAAGAUUAUGACGGUAGCAGAUGAAUAAGGAUCGGCUAACUCCGUGCCAGCAGCCGCGGUAA